UAGGCGACCGGGUGAGUAACACGUGACUAACCUACCUUCGAGUGGGGGAUAACCUAGGGAAACCUGGGCUAAUACCGCAUAACAUCUUUGGAGUGGAAAUUCUGAAGAUCAAAGGAGCAAUUCGCUGGAAGAGGGGGUCGCGGCUGAUUAGCUAGUUGGCGGGGUAAUGGCCCACCAAGGCUUUGAUCGGUAGCCGGCCUGAGAGGGCGCACGGCCACACUGGAACUGAAACACGGUCCAG
RNAcentral lists this ribosomal RNA (241 nucleotides) under uncultured bacterium. RNAcentral describes it as "partial 16S ribosomal RNA". It matches the Rfam family "Bacterial small subunit ribosomal RNA", at positions 95 to 334 of the family's 1533-position model. The record is from RNAcentral.